This 582-nucleotide ribosomal RNA is filed under the name Burkholderiales bacterium. RNAcentral describes it as "bacterial SSU rRNA". It matches the Rfam family "Bacterial small subunit ribosomal RNA", at positions 75 to 652 of the family's 1533-position model. The record is from RNAcentral. Lineage: Bacteria; Pseudomonadati; Pseudomonadota; Betaproteobacteria; Burkholderiales.
GGAGCUUGCUCCCGCCGGCGAGUGGCAAACGGGUGAGUAAUACAUCGGAACGUGCCCAGUAGUGGGGGAUAGCCCGGCGAAAGCCGGAUUAAUACCGCAUACGACCUACGGGUGAAAGCGGGGGACCGAAAGGCCUCGCGCUAUUGGAGCGGCCGAUGGCUGAUUAGCUAGUUGGUGGGGUAAAGGCCUACCAAGGCUACGAUCAGUCGCUGGUCUGAGAGGACGACCAGCCACACUGGGACUGAGACACGGCCCAGACUCCUACGGGAGGCAGCAGUGGGGAAUUUUGGACAAUGGGCGAAAGCCUGAUCCAGCAAUGCCGCGUGUGCGAAGAAGGCCUUCGGGUUGUAAAGCACUUUUGUCAGGAAAGAAAUUGUUUGGGCUAAUACCCCGAGCCGUUGACGGUACCUGAAGAAUAAGCACCGGCUAACUACGUGCCAGCAGCCGCGGUAAUACGUAGGGUGCGAGCGUUAAUCGGAAUUACUGGGCGUAAAGCGUGCGCAGGCGGUUUGUUAAGACAGUUGUGAAAUCCCCGGGCUUAACCUGGGAACUGCAAUUGUGACUGGCAGGCUAGAGUUUGGC